GAUGAACGCUGGCGGCGUGCCUAAUACAUGCAAGUAGAACGCUGAAGGAAGGAGCUUGCUCUUUCCGGAUGAGUUGCGAACGGGUGAGUAACGCGUAGGUAACCUGCCUGGUAGCGGGGGAUAACUAUUGGAAACGAUAGCUAAUACCGCAUAACAGUAGAUGUUGCAUGAUAUCUACUUAAAAGGUGCAAUUGCACCACUACCAGAUGGACCUACGUUGUAUUAGCUAGUUGGUGAGGUAACGGCUCACCAAGGCGACGAUACAUAGCCGACCUGAGAGGGUGAUCGGCCACACUGGGACUGAGACACGGCCCAGACUCCUACGGGAGGCAGCAGUAGGGAAUCUUCGGCAAUGGACGGAAGUCUGACCGAGCAACGCCGCGUGAGUGAAGAAGGUUUUCGGAUCGUAAAGCUCUGUUGUAAGAGAAGAACGAGUGUGAGAGUGGAAAGUUCACACUGUGACGGUAUCUUACCAGAAAGGGACGGCUAACUACGUG
RNAcentral lists this ribosomal RNA (497 nucleotides) under uncultured bacterium. Its description in RNAcentral is "partial 16S ribosomal RNA". It matches the Rfam family "Bacterial small subunit ribosomal RNA", at positions 28 to 507 of the family's 1533-position model. The record is from RNAcentral.